AACGAACGCUGGCGGCAUGCCUAACACAUGCAAGUCGAACGAAACCUCCGUGCCUUUGUGCGCACGGCUGCUUAAGGCGUGGGAAGCUGCCCGUGGGUUCGGAAUACCUGCCUGUAAGGUGUGCUAAUACCGGUGAAUCUCUUCCCACCAAAGAUCUAUCGCCGUUGGGUGGGCCCGCGUUAGAUUAGCUAGUUGGUAGGGUAAAAGCCUGGCAAGGCGACGUUCCAUGGCUGGUCUGUGAGGAUGACAAUCAACACUGGGACUGAGACACGGACCAGACUGGUACGGAAGGGAGCAGUGGGGAAUAUUGGAGGAUGGGCGCAAGCCUAGUACAGCAGUGCGGGGUGAGUGAUGAAGGGGUUAGGGUUGUAAAGCUGCUUUAGACGAGAUGAUAAUGACGGUACCGGGAGAAUAAGCACCGGCUAACUACGUG
RNAcentral lists this ribosomal RNA (433 nucleotides) under uncultured bacterium. Its description in RNAcentral is "partial 16S ribosomal RNA". It matches the Rfam family "Bacterial small subunit ribosomal RNA", at positions 29 to 507 of the family's 1533-position model. The record is from RNAcentral.